RNAcentral lists this ribosomal RNA (440 nucleotides) under uncultured bacterium. RNAcentral's name for it is "partial 16S ribosomal RNA". It matches the Rfam family "Bacterial small subunit ribosomal RNA", at positions 338 to 795 of the family's 1533-position model. The record is from RNAcentral.
CCUACGGGAGGCAGCAGUGGGGAAUAUUGCACAAUGGGGGAAACCCUGAUGCAGCGACGCCGCGUGAAGGAAGAAGUAUUUCGGUAUGUAAACUUCUAUCAGCAGGGAAGAAAAUGACGGUACCUGACUAAGAAGCACCGGCUAACUACGUGCCAGCAGCCGCGGUAAUACGUAGGGGGCAAGCGUUAUCCGGAUUUACUGGGUGUAAAGGGAGCGUAGGCGGUUUAGCAAGUCAGAAGUGAAAGCCCGGGGCUCAACUCCGGGACUGCUUUUGAAACUGUUGAACUAGAGUGCAGGAGAGGUAAGUGGAAUUCCUAGUGUAGCGGUGAAAUGCGUAGAUAUUAGGAGGAACACCAGUGGCGAAGGCGGCUUACUGGACUGUAAAUGACGCUGAGGCUCGAAAGCGUGGGGAGCAAACAGGAUUAGAUACCCUAGUAGUC